Molecule: ribosomal RNA, 709 nt
Filed under: uncultured bacterium
Lineage: Bacteria
Description: bacterial SSU rRNA
Rfam family: Bacterial small subunit ribosomal RNA
Source: RNAcentral
AUACCCUGGUAGUCCUAGCUGUAAACGGUGCACAUUUGCCGUGAGAGGAAUCGACCCCUUUCGUGGCGAAGCUAACGCGUUAAAUGUGCCGCCUGGGAAGUACGGUCGCAAGAUUAAAACUCAAAGAAAUUGACGGGGGCCUGCACAAGCGGUGGAGUAUGUGGCUCAAUUCGAUGCAACGCGAAGAACCUUACCUGGCCUUGACAUGCAAGUGGUAGAAGGAUGAAAGUCUAACGAUCCCGCAAGGGAAGCUUGCACAGGUGCUGCAUGGCUGUCGUCAGCUCGUGUCGUGAGAUGUUGGGUUAAGUCCCGCAACGAGCGCCAACCCCUAUGUCCUGUUGCCACCCGAACGAGAGUUCGGAGCACUCUGGACAGACUGCCUCGUCUUAACGAGGAGGAAAGUGGGGAUGACGUCAAGUCAGGAUGGCCCUUACGGCCAGGGCUGCACACGUACUACAAUGCCCGGCACAGAGGGAAGCGAGACCGCAAGGUGGAGCAAAUCCCAAAAAAUCGGGCUCAGUUCAGAUUGUCGGCUGCAAUUCGCCGGCAUGAAGCUGGAAUCGCUAGUAAUGGCGCAUCAGCUACGGCGCCGUGAAUACGUUCCCAGGCCUUGUACACACCGCCCGUCACAUCAUGAAAGCCGUUUGUACCCGAAGUCCACAGCUUAACCGCAAGGAAGCGGUGGCCGAAGGUAUGGAUUGGAUUGGGA